This 477-nucleotide ribosomal RNA is filed under the name Adenomera hylaedactyla (Napo tropical bullfrog). RNAcentral's name for it is "partial 16S ribosomal RNA". It matches the Rfam family "Bacterial large subunit ribosomal RNA", at positions 1860 to 2541 of the family's 2925-position model. Lineage: Eukaryota; Metazoa; Chordata; Amphibia; Anura; Leptodactylidae. The record is from RNAcentral.
UGCCCAGUGACAUUGUUCAACGGCCGCGGUAUCCUAACCGUGCGAAGGUAGCGUAAUCACUUGUUCUUUAAAUGAGGACUAGUAUGAAAGGCAUCACGAGAGUCAUACUGUCUCCUUUCUCUAAUCAGUGAAACUAAUCCCCCCGUGAAGAAGCGGGGAUAGAAAUAUAAGACGAGAAGACCCUAUGGAGCUUUAAACAUAUAAUAUAUGCCCUUUUAACUUCAAAUUUCAGAAAAAUCUCUUAUCUUGGUAUAAUAACUAAUAGUUUUUGGUUGGGGUGACCACGGAAUAAAAAACAACUUCCACAAUGAAAGAUUCUCCUUCACUAAGUUAAGGACUACAGCCCUAUACAUCAAUAAAUUGACAUAAUUGACCCAACAUAUUGAUCAAUGAACCAAGUUACCCUAGGGAUAACAGCGCAAUCCACUUAAGAGCUCUUAUCGACAAGUGGGCUUACGACCUCGAUGUUGGAUCAGG